GGCCGCGGCCGGGCUGGUCGGCUGGCUCGCCGCCCAGGGCGGCGAGGGCCCGCUGGUGAUCGGGUACGACGCCCGGCGCGGCUC
Molecule: transfer RNA, 84 nt
Filed under: Micromonospora sp. MH33
Lineage: Bacteria; Bacillati; Actinomycetota; Actinomycetes; Micromonosporales; Micromonosporaceae
Description: tRNA-Ser
Source: RNAcentral